AACGAACGCUGGCGGCAUGCCUAACACAUGCCAGUCGAACGAGACCUUCGGGUCUAGUGGCGCACGGGUGCGUAACGCGUGGGAACCUGCCCUUAGGUUCGGAAUAACUCCCCGAAAGGGGUGCUAAUACCGGAUAAUGUCUUCGGACCAAAGAUUUAUCGCCUUUGGAUGGGCCCGCGUUGGAUUAGCUAGUUGGUAGGGUAAAAGCCUACCAAGGCGACGAUCCAUAGCUGGUCUGAGAGGAUAAUCAGCCACACUGGGACUGAGACACGGCCCAGACUCCUACGGGAGGCAGCAGUGGGGAAUAUUGGACAAUGGGCGAAAGCCUGAUCCGGCAAUGCCGCGUGAGUGAUGAAGGCCUUAGGGUUGUAAAGCUCUUUUACCCGGGAUGAUAAUGACAGUACCGGGAGAAUAAGCUCCGGCUAACUCCGUG
Molecule: ribosomal RNA, 433 nt
Filed under: uncultured bacterium
Lineage: Bacteria
Description: partial 16S ribosomal RNA
Rfam family: Bacterial small subunit ribosomal RNA
Source: RNAcentral